ACGCCUACGGGGGGCAGCAGUGGGGAAUAUUGGGCAAUGGGCGCAAGCCUGACCCAGCAACGCCGCGUGAAGGAAGAAGGCUUUCGGGUUGUAAACUUCUUUUGACAGGGAAGAGCAGAAGACGGUACCUGUCGAAUAAGCCACGGCUAACUACGUGCCAGCAGCCGCGGUAAUACGUAGGUGGCAAGCGUUGUCCGGAUUUACUGGGUGUAAAGGGCGUGUAGCCGGGCUGACAAGUCAGAUGUGAAAUCCGGGGGCCCAACCCCGGAACUGCUCUGGAAACUGUGCGGCUAGAGUACUGGAGG
RNAcentral lists this ribosomal RNA (305 nucleotides) under uncultured bacterium. RNAcentral's name for it is "bacterial SSU rRNA". It matches the Rfam family "Bacterial small subunit ribosomal RNA", at positions 335 to 655 of the family's 1533-position model. The record is from RNAcentral.